UUCGUCUCACCUCAUCACAGAAAGAAGGGUGAGCACAGUACAAUGAGAUACUGUUUGUCUUCUCAGAUAGAAUUUAUCACCCUUGAAGAGAGGAAUCCCCGGGACCAGAUACUAGAAUCAAGGAUGCUCAACUUCUUCGGAGCACUUACAACUGAUUGGGUGGAUCCGAGAAGUGCCCUCAAGUAUGGUCUCAUGGGUUUCUGGUCUUGAAGACAGAAGUCCCAGAAGUUGGAGAUUGUGUUUAAAACAUGCGUCUUUGCCAAGUGUAGUGGGGCACAUCUAUAAUCUCAGCACUUGGGAGGCUGAGGCAGGAAGACUGCUGUGAGUUCAAGAGGCUGGACGACAGUUCACUGUGAUACUUGUGUGUGAUUGAACGUCACCUACCAGGCGCAGGACCCUGCUACGGGACAGCCCUCAUCCACCAGAUCAAGAGGCACAUCUGGCAGCUCUUGUUCCUUGCUGUUCUCUUAGGUCUGCUUGAAAAGGCAGUCUGAGAAGCUUUACAUGCUCUGCAUGUGUCACAAUUCAAGAGAAGUAUGUCUUAAUAAAAUCUGACGUAAGAAAGCCCAGAGUGGCUCAGAAAAAAAUA
Molecule: long non-coding RNA, 589 nt
Organism: Chinchilla lanigera (long-tailed chinchilla)
Lineage: Eukaryota; Metazoa; Chordata; Mammalia; Rodentia; Chinchillidae
Exons: 4
Source: RefSeq, a predicted model, not a curated record